UACCUAUCCCGGUACCUUUGAAUUUGGGAAC
RNAcentral lists this non-coding RNA (31 nucleotides) under Rattus norvegicus (Norway rat). Lineage: Eukaryota; Metazoa; Chordata; Mammalia; Rodentia; Muridae. The record is from RNAcentral.